CAAGUACUGGUCUCAGCAGAUUGAAGAGAGCACCACAGUGGUCACCACGCAGUCCGCUGAGGUUGGAGCUGU
Molecule: microRNA precursor, 72 nt
Organism: Pan troglodytes (chimpanzee)
Lineage: Eukaryota; Metazoa; Chordata; Mammalia; Primates; Hominidae
Rfam family: mir-622 microRNA precursor family
Source: Rfam